This is a long non-coding RNA of Piliocolobus tephrosceles (Ugandan red Colobus), 2059 nucleotides long. The record is from Ensembl. NCBI's taxonomy places the organism in Eukaryota, Metazoa, Chordata, Mammalia, Primates, Cercopithecidae.
AAAAAUUAUGAUCAAGUGUUCAUAAGUACGGACAAAGCAAAAGAAUAUAAUUCGUUUGAGAAAAAUGAAAAUGCCCAACCAGAGUCAUGUACCAUUCGUAAUACUCAAGGUAAUACGGAAUCCGAACAAAGCAACGAACAAACUAACGCACAAACUAGCAACAAAAGGAACGACUAUAACUAUUCAAGUAAUAUUUUAGACCCAAACAAAACAAGUACAAAACAAAAUAACUUAACCAUAAGUAACAUGCAUACAGAAAAGCAUGACUUACUACAAGACAUUCACAACCACAAAAAAAAUAAUAUCCAACAGGAUGAUGCAAAAAAUAAAAAAAGAGUUCAAAAUAANNNNNNNNNNNNNNNNNNNNNNNNNNNNNNNNNNNNNNNNNNNNNNNNNNNNNNNNNNNNNNNNNNNNNNNNNNNNNNNNNNNNNNNNNNNNNNNNNNNNAAUAUCCAACAGGAUGAUGCAAAAAAUAAAAAAAGAGUUCAAAAUAAGUUUGCACUGUUAGAAAAAAAUAAAAACAUAAUAAAUAUAAAUGAUCAAAAUAUAAAUAAUAUGCUAAUAAACAGUAAAUCAAACAAAUUAAAUAUUAAUGAGAAAAAAAAGAACGACCAUUUUUAUAAAAUUUUUUUUUCUUCUAAAAAAGUAAAAAUAAUUAAAUCACAAAAUCAUCCUAUUUUUAUACAUUUAUAUAAAUUAGCCACUGAUAAAAUAUAUCGUAAAAAACAAGAAAAAAUAUUAUUAACAAGUCAUAAAAUUAUAUUAGAGAGACAAAAAAAUCAUAUUAUUAGAUUAUACACGAACAGUAUAGAUAAUUUAAAACAUUUUAAAACCUAUGAUAAUUUUAUAUUACUAUCUAAUAAAUUAUUAAAAAAACUCUCUUUUUUAUAUUCUUAUAAAAAUGGUGUAAUAGCUGAAGUAUCACAUAACUUUUAUUUUGACGAUGUUGGUCUACCUCAUCUCGCUUUUUGUUUUUAUAAUAUUAAUUAUGAAUAUGAUCAUAACGAAUGUAAACCAAAAUCGAAUUUAGAUUUGUCUUCAAAAACUGAAAGUACUAAAAGUAAUGUCGUUGUUGGUAAUGACGAACAGAUAAUUAAUGAAAGACGUGUAGCAAUACGAACAGACAUAAAUCCGUCCCAAUAUAAAAACCCAUCAGAAUAUUUAUGUAAUGGUGAUAUAGGAACACUAAUAAGAAGCUGCUUUUUGUUAAAGUGGCAAUGCAUAUUUCGUGUAACAGAUUCGUUUAGGAAAAGGGAAGGUCAAGGAAAAGGACAGGAACAAAAACAGGGACAAAAACAGGGACAAAAACAAGAACGUGUAUAUCCCAAAAAAAAAGGUGGUUACAAAAAUAGAGACAUUAAAAGCAUAUAUGACAUAGAUUUUUUCCACCCUCUAACUAUACGUGCAUCCGCUGGCUAUUUGUUGGAUAUUCCUUAUAAAAAAAUAAACUUACAAGAGUUAAUUGAAUACGCUAAAGAAAACAAAAUUUUGUUAUUGAAGUAUAGUGCGCAUAGUGACAUAUAUCUUGAUUACAAAACUGGAAACGAUGACAGUAGCAACAAUAGUUGUAUCACCUUUUCAAAUUUGAUAAAUAAUUCUAAAGGAGCUUUUCUCAUAAUAGACAACUGUAAUAAUAUAGAGAAACGAUAUAAAACUGUUCAUAAAAAUUAUAUUAUUACAACUAAUAAUAUAAAUAAUAAGGAUAAUAUAAAUAAUAAGGAUAAUAUAUUUAAUAAUAUAUAUUAUGUUAACUUAAAACAUAGUAAUAAUAGAACAUUGAAUCUUGUUUCUAUUUACUCUAUUUUUAUGUAUAUAUUAAAAAGUAAUUAUUUUAAAUCUAUUCCACAGUCUCCCUAUAUAUGUAUUGGAUAGGCUAGGAUAGGCAGUUUGGUCUAUUUAAACUAAACACUGCAAAGGAGGUGUGUCACUAUUCAUGUUCCAUGUUCCAUUUUUUUUUUUUUUUUUUUUUGCUACUUUAUUUUUGUUACUUGAUUUCGAAUUAAAAAAAAAAAAAAAACAAGCAUACAUAUUAGUUUUGUAUGUACAUAUAUAUAUGUAC